RNAcentral lists this transfer RNA (94 nucleotides) under Actinocatenispora rupis. RNAcentral describes it as "tRNA-Pro". Lineage: Bacteria; Bacillati; Actinomycetota; Actinomycetes; Micromonosporales; Micromonosporaceae. The record is from RNAcentral.
GGCGACGAUCGUGCGGGCCAGCGCGCCGGCCGCGGCGGCCGAGAGCCGGAUGUUCAGGAAGCCGGGCCCGGCGAUCUCGGCGCUGUCGACGCCG